GCCAGACUCCUACGGGAGGCAGCAGUGGGGGAUAUUGCACAAUGGGGGGAACCCUGAUGCAGCGACGCCGCGUGGGUGAAGGAGCGUUUCGGCGCGUAAAGCCCUAUCGGCAGGGAAGAAGGAGGACGGUACCUGACUAAGAAGCCCCGGCUAACUACGUGCCAGCAGCCGCGGUAAUACGUAGGGGGCAAGCGUUAUCCGGAUUUACUGGGUGUAAAGGGGGCGCAGACGGCAGCGCAAGCCAGGAGUGAAAGCCCGGGGCCCAACCCCGGGACUGCUCUUGGAACUGCGCGGCUGGAGUGCAGGAGGGACAGGCGGAAUUCCUGGUGUAGCGGUGAAAUGCGUAGAUAUCAGGAGGAACACCGGUGGCGAAGGCGGCCUGCUGGACUGCGACUGACGUUGAGGCCCGAAAGCGUGGGGAGCAAACAGGAUUAGAUACCCUGUACA
Molecule: ribosomal RNA, 447 nt
Filed under: uncultured bacterium
Lineage: Bacteria
Description: partial 16S ribosomal RNA
Rfam family: Bacterial small subunit ribosomal RNA
Source: RNAcentral